GGUCAUAGCUCAGUGGUAGAGCAUCUGCUUUGUAAACAGAAGGUCCCAGUUUCAAUCCCUGGCAUCUCCA
This is a non-coding RNA of Podarcis lilfordi (Lilford's wall lizard), 70 nucleotides long. NCBI's taxonomy places the organism in Eukaryota, Metazoa, Chordata, Lepidosauria, Squamata, Lacertidae. The record is from the annotation of a GenBank genome assembly.